This 497-nucleotide ribosomal RNA is filed under the name uncultured bacterium. Its description in RNAcentral is "partial 16S ribosomal RNA". It matches the Rfam family "Bacterial small subunit ribosomal RNA", at positions 28 to 507 of the family's 1533-position model. The record is from RNAcentral.
GACGAACGCUGGCGGCGUGCCUAAUACAUGCAAGUAGAACGCUGAAGAGAGGAGCUUGCUCUUCUUGGAUGAGUUGCGAACGGGUGAGUAACGCGUAGGUAACCUGCCUUGUAGCGGGGGAUAACUAUUGGAAACGAUAGCUAAUACCGCAUAACAAUGGAUGACACAUGUCAUUUAUUUGAAAGGGGCAAUUGCUCCACUACGAGAUGGACCUGCGUUGUAUUAGCUAGUAGGUGAGGUAACGGCUCACCUAGGCGACGAUACAUAGCCGACCUGAGAGGGUGAUCGGCCACACUGGGACUGAGACACGGCCCAGACUCCUACGGGAGGCAGCAGUAGGGAAUCUUCGGCAAUGGGGGCAACCCUGACCGAGCAACGCCGCGUGAGUGAAGAAGGGUUUCGGAUCGUAAAGCUCUGUUGUAAGUCAAGAACGAGUGUGAGAGUGGAAAGUUCACACUGUGACGGUAGCUUACCAGAAAGGGACGGCUAACUACGUG